GAGAAUGUCAAUGUGAGUUGUGAUUAUCUGCUUUGCCCUUGUGUAUGCAGUCUCUACUAGAUCCCUUACCUCUGCAUCCACCACAUCUGCUGUUGCCAUGGAGUAGUCUUUUUGUGAUGACAUCUAAGAAUGGAAUUUACGAGUCAGAUUAUGUUAAACAACCACCCACAAAAGCUCGGAGAGGGCACGAGAUCAUGCAGGCUAUAAAUACAACAUUAGUAAAUAUUAAAUUGAAGAAAAAUUUACCUGUUGACCUAAGAAAGGAUUGCCACCACCUCCACCAAUGGCAACUUGUCCAAUCUUUUUGCUGAAUCCAAAUCUUUCAACCAUCUGCCUUGCCACUCGUGAGACUUGCAUAAAGUCAUUCGAUGCUCCUGUUGUCACAUUUUCCUCCCCGAAAAUUACUUCUUCGGCAAUCCUG
This 421-nucleotide long non-coding RNA is filed under the name Gossypium raimondii (Peruvian cotton). Its description in RNAcentral is "long non-coding RNA (GRAI_LNC001126)". The record is from RNAcentral. Lineage: Eukaryota; Viridiplantae; Streptophyta; Magnoliopsida; Malvales; Malvaceae.